RNAcentral lists this ribosomal RNA (465 nucleotides) under uncultured bacterium. Its description in RNAcentral is "partial 16S ribosomal RNA". It matches the Rfam family "Bacterial small subunit ribosomal RNA", at positions 28 to 507 of the family's 1533-position model. The record is from RNAcentral.
GACGAACGCUGGCGGCGUGCUUAACACAUGCAAGUCGAACGGAAAGGCCCUGCUUGCAGGGUACUCGAGUGGCGAACGGGUGAGUAACACGUGGGUGAUCUGCCCUGCACUUCGGGAUAAGCCUGGGAAACUGUGUCUAAUACCGGAUAGGAGCCAUUUUUAGUGUGAUGGUUGGAAAGUUUUUUCGGUGUAGGAUGAGCUCGCGGCCUAUCAGCUUGUUGGUGGGGUAAUGGCCUACCAAGGCGGCGACGGGUAGCCGGCCUGAGAGGGUGGACGGCCACAUUGGGACUGAGAGACGGCACAGACUCCUACGGGAGGCAGCAGUGGGGAAGAUUGCACAAGGGGCGCAAGCCUGAUGCAGCGACGCCGCGUGGGGGAUGACGGCCUUCGGGUUGUAAACUCAUUUCGCUAGGGACGAAGCUUUUUGUGACGGUACCUAGAUAAGAAGCACCGGCUAACUACGUG